This 465-nucleotide ribosomal RNA is filed under the name uncultured bacterium. RNAcentral's name for it is "bacterial SSU rRNA". It matches the Rfam family "Bacterial small subunit ribosomal RNA", at positions 198 to 644 of the family's 1533-position model. The record is from RNAcentral.
GGAGAAAAGCAGGGGAUCGCAAGACCUCACGCUCUGAGAAAGGCCUAUGGCGGAUUAGCUAGUUGGUGAGGUAAAGGCUUACCAAGGCGACGAUCAGUAGCUGGUCUGAGAGGACGACCAGCCACACUGGGACUGAGACACGGCCCAGACUCCUACGGGAGGCAGCAGUGGGGAAUUUUGGACAAUGGGGGAAACCCUGAUCCAGCCAUGCCGCGUGAGUGAAGAAGGCCUUCGGGUUGUAAAGCUCUUUCAGCCGGAACGAAACGGUCACGGCUAAUACCUGUGAUCACUGACGGUACCGGAAGAAGAAGCACCGGCUAACUACGUGCCAGCAGCCGCGGUAAUACGUAGGGUGCAAGCGUUAAUCGGAAUUACUGGGCGUAAAGCGUGCGCAGGCGGUUUUGUAAGUCAGAUGUGAAAUCCCCGGGCUUAACCUGGGAACUGCGUUUGAAACUACAAAGCUAG